This is a long non-coding RNA of Neofelis nebulosa (Clouded leopard), 5947 nucleotides long. RefSeq lists it as uncharacterized. Lineage: Eukaryota; Metazoa; Chordata; Mammalia; Carnivora; Felidae. The record is from RefSeq and is a predicted model, not a curated record. The transcript is spliced from 3 exons.
GUCUCAUGGACUUGAAAAAGUGUGAAGGCAACUGUAAUGCUUUUUCUAAGAAAGACUUUAGAAUAUGUAUAGAUAUUUUAUUAUUUAAAUUGGACAUCAAAUUUCCUCAGUAUAUUGCUUGUGUUUUGUUAUUCCUAGCAACUUGGACCUACAAAAAAACGAUGUUCUAAAUGCCAUCAGGUAUUCUGUUUUCCUAAGAAAGAAGUUCAAGAAAGUUCAGACAAAAAUUACACUGUUCUGUUUAUUGCCUUAAUCUAAAAAUUCUUUGUAUUUCCCACUUCAUUGAUAUAUAGUGUGUGAGCCCAGAAUUUCUAGAAGAUAUAGGACACAGAUAUUAUAAAGUUUUAAGGGUAACUAUCUUACAGAAAAAAUCUUGACCUGGUUCUAAAAUCUGAUGUUACAGUGUUUCAAUAUUAUAGUUUACCUUGAAAUACAAAUCACUGAGCAUUUUGGUCACAGUAAAUAAGUAACUACGUUGGUCUCAUGAACUCCUCCUCAUGUCACAAGGUAGUAAGUGUGUCUAUAGACACACGUGAUGCUAGUAAGCUUAGUUUUGAGUAAGUUUAUCUAUAUUGAACAAAUUUUCAAUAUUUGAAUAAGUUUCCUGGAAAUCAACCCAAGGGUCGGGGGGGGGGGGUGGAAUAAAAAUACAAAUUAACUGUGUCAUGUAAUUGUAUAGAACUCCCAUGAUCCUAGGGUCCCCUUUAGUAUUUAAAAAUGAAAUUUGAUCAGUGAUAUUAGAAGCAUGUUUUGGGGUCAUAUAUUUUUGUUUUUGCUUCACACACUUAUACCAUUAUCCAUUCCUUUCAAAGUUUCUCCUCAGCUAAUAUUUAUGUGUAUCUGUUUGGGUGGACAAAACAAUGUACGGCCUUUCCCACACUAGUGGAUUAGCCCUAAGGGAAUAUCACUGGAGCUAUUUCAGAGAAGUUAGGGUGGGGUGACCCUGGUGUUCCUGGGAUGGUCCAAUUUGGGCACUGAAAGUCCCAUGUCCUGGGAAACCUCUUGGUCUGGGAAAACUGGGAUCGUUGGUUACUCUGAGAUCUUCUUACCCUCCAACAUCUCUACCACUAGCCUGUCACAGAGUCUGAAAUGGAUCCUUUAGACUGAGUGCUGUGUUUUCAGCAAUCUCAUGUUAAAAUGUAAAUAUACCAAGAUAACUGAUUAAUAUUGGUUUUCAUCAUUUAUUUUUUACCGAGUAUAUGUUUAUCAGCCACAUGGCUUCCACUUCAGAGAGCAGAGAGCUGAGCCAGGCAGAAGAGUAAUUAUUCACAGGGGGGAGAAAAGGAAAAGAACAACCAUUUGUUAAGGACCUACUGCGUGCUGAGGAGUUUGGUGGGCUCUUAAUGGAAACAGAAACAAGGCAAUAGCCUCUAAAGUGGAUGCGAUAUUGGGUUGGAGAAUGGGAAAGAUGAGCGAAUCCUCCAAAAGAAGUCAUUACUUGCCUGAGUGAAGAUACACCUGUGGUUGAACAUAGACCUGCUUAUGGGCUCCGCAUCUUUCUGACAAUAUAAUUGGCACCCAAAGUUUUAACCUCCAACACUGAAAUCCUCAUCACUAAAAGUGGGAUAUGAUACUUUCCUAAUAAGAUUCUGUGUUUUGUGAAAAUUAAAUGAUAUAAAGCGUGUGAAAUACUUAGGGUAAUGUCUACUACCUAAAAGAGCAGUAUAUAAAUAGAAAGUGUUACUUUUGUUGCUGUUAGUGUAUUUGCUCAGGGACACCCUGCUCAAAAAGCUGUGGCUUCUGAGUUGGUGACAUUCAUGGCCACUUUCAAGAGCGUAUCAUUCCUUUGUCUCUGUGACAUCUAGGCUAUUUGAUGCCUUUGCUGGAAACUGCUGGAUUUAUUAUUCCAUAUGUGUGGAUAUGUGUAUACAAAUAGGAAAAAAAAAACCUGCACAGCAAAAAGCAAUUGGAUUUGUUUAUAAAGUCAUAAUCACAGGAGCAUUGUUUCUCUUCUAUGCCUCAUUCUGGGUCCUAUUCUAUUAAAUUUCUCUCAGGCAUCAAUUCAUUGCCUUCAAUUUUUAUGGGUUUUAAAUCAUAUAGAAGGUGCUCUAUAAAUGCAAAAUAAUAAAAAAGGAGAACAAUUUUGGGCAUUUCCAUGUGUACACUAUCAAAAGUACUGCAAAAAAAUUCUUCAUUUUCCUCCACAAAGCUCUGCCUGAACAUUAUUUAUGGUAGCAGCAAAAUAGUCAACAUGGAAUGAGAAUUCGCCCAGCUAAAACAUCUGAGUUAUUCAUAGGUGAACCAAUGGCCUAAACUGUCAUUACAUUUCACGAGCAGCAUUCCAGUGAUAGAGUCAUACAAAAUUGAAAUUGUAAUGAAAUGUAACUUUCCAUGUAUUCAUGGAUUUAAAGGGAAAAAAAGAAUACCAUUUCCUCCAAUGGGUGUCGAUUUAAAGUACAGUUUCCUAUUUUUUUGUUUAGGUACCUACUAAAGAGAGUACAGUAUCUGUGACAAUAUGAGAACUUUCUUAAUCUACUUUUAUUCCCUAAAUAAGUAUAGAUGUGAACACUUGAAAUUCAUCUUUAAAGUCUUGAUAUAAAUGUAAAGAGCAGAAAAUCACACAUUGUCAAAUAUGUGAGGUAUAGCAAAGCAUAGUCAGUAUGAUCCCCUCAUGUUACAAGUGAGAAAUUUGCUUUGAGUCUGCAUACACAGAUGACACAUCUAAUUUUUUAAUUUCAAUUCUUUUUCCAUUACAUUUUUUUAAAGGAAAAAUCUCAGCAAACCGUAUUGUAAUAGGUUCUAAGGAGAGAGGGGGGAAUAGAGAAGUGCCUUCCAAAAUGCUAAAAAGGUCCAAUAGUUCUGAUAAUUUUAAAAUGCUGGUAAAAUAUAGAUAUAAUCAAUAUUAUCAGGAUGACCAUAAAGAGGAUGAGCAAAGUAACUUUUGGAAUAGAUUCCAAACUGCCUAACAAUGACCUUCUAUUCAACCCUGGCAAAAAUUCUAAGGAAAUGAUGUAUUACAUUAUUUACCUGGUAAACUAUGGGGAUACUGAUUUUUUUCCCCCUAGAAAACAAAGCAGUAAAAGCAAUGAUUAAUUAAGCCUCAUUUAUUUCUGGUUACUCACCCUAGUUAGUUUAGAGUUUCUCAAAAUGAGGUCUCUAGACCACCAGCAUCAAAAUCAGUGUAGUGCUUGUUAAAAAUGCAGGUUCCUGGGCCAUUCUUCAAACCUAGUGGAUUGUAGUAUCUGAGGGAUGGGGCUUGAGAAUCAGCCUGUUAAUAACUUCCCCGGAUGAUUUUGAAGCAAUAAUACUUUAGAGCUAUAUCUAAGUAUUAUUCUUUUAUGUUUGAUUAAUGGUUUGAUAAAGUAAAAGACGAUCUUAUGCAUUACUUAGGGUUAGUGCUAUUUGAAAAGGUGGCUGUACUAAGUGUUCUUUGCAGGGGAUUUUGGGUUCUAUUGUUAUAUGGAAUAAAUAUUUCAUUUUAUGUGGCAGCAUCUGAAAAGCCUACCAAAGAAAUUUCUUGGAACACAAAGGUUGAGCCUAUAAAGUGUGGCACUGUUGAGGUAGUUCUUUUGCAUAGACCACUGGGAUUUGAAUAAUGGACAUCAUGUCUGCUAGAAUUUGUAGAAUCAAUAGGCUUACUCAGAGAUGGAAAAAUGAUGCCAUCAAGCAGGAAUUGGCAAAUUUAUUCUGUAAAAGGCCAGAUAAAUAUUUUAGGCUUUAUGGGUCAUACUAUCCUGUUGCAACUACACAACUCCUUUGCUGUAGUAUGAACACAGUUAUAGAUUUACAUAAAUGAAUGAACAUGACUAUGUUCCAAUAAAACUUUAUUUACAAAAGUUUUAUUCACUGUCUGUAUUUGGCCUGUGGACCAUACUGUGCUGAUCCCUAUCAGAGAACAUUUAAUGUGCAAUUCAAUCAAUACUUAUUUAUUAAAAUUUUUAAAAAAUGUUUAUUUAUUUUACAGAGAGAGAGAGACUGAGCAUGAGCAGGGGAGGGGCAGAGAGAGAAGGAGACACAGAAUCCAAAGCAGCCUCCAGGCUCUGAGCUGUCAGCACAGAGCCUGAUGCGGGGCUCAAACUCACGAACUGUGAGAUCAUGACCUGAGCCAAAGUUGGACACUCAACUGACUGAGCCACCCAGACACCCCUAAUUCAAUCAAUAUUUAAAUUAAGAAAGCACAAAGCACAAAUAUUGAAUAAAUUUUGAUAAUCUGUAUUUAUAUGAGAAUGUUGAUAAAAUAGGUAAAAUGAAAAAUAUGGAUAUGGCAUUUCUUUUGCUUUCUGUCCUUAUUUGUGAUCCAUUGUCCUUUUCAUGGGUAAUAAAACAAUUUGAUAGGUUCUAAAUAUAGCCACAGACUGACCUAUCAUCAAGAGGUGAAGUCUGUUUCCACAAUUCUUUAAAUUUGACCUGUGAUUUGCUCUGUCCCAUAGAAUGCAGCAGAAGUGAUAUUUUUCCAGUUCUAACCCUAGGCCUUGAGAAGUCGUGAAGCUUCCAUUCUCAUUCUAGAAAUGAUGACAGAGAGUGAAAAUCCAUGUGGAUGGGGCGCCCAGCUGCCUCUGCCUUCCCAGCCAUCUCAGUUGAGGCCCACACCUGCGAGUGAACCCAGCUGAGAACACAGUAAACACAGCCCAAAUUACCAAGUCACAGAACAGUGAGUUGAAUCAUUGUUCCUGUUUUAAGCUGCUACCUUUCAGUAUGUUUUAUUAAGCAGCAGCAGAUAACAGAUACAAAUAGGAGCAAGAUCAUGAGCUGAGUGUGAAAGAUGGAGGCUGUGUUUGAAGGUUAAAGAGAAGCCCGAAAUGGAGAGGGUUUGAGAUGGUGUAUCUAUGUAUCCUGGGGAAAUAUAGUAGGGCUGCUGGAGAGCAUGAGGACUUCAUCUGAGUUCUAGCAUUGGACAUGAAGAUAACAGCCUUACCGAAGGAAAGAGCAUGAGUAGGGGAAGAGCAGAGAGAGGGAGACACAGAAUCCGAAGCAGGCUCUGGGCUCUGAUCUGUCAGCACAGAAUCCAAUGCGGGGCUAGAACUUACAAACUUGUGAGAUCAUGAGCUGAGCUGAAGUCGAGACACUUAGCCGACUGAACCACCCAGGCGGGCCUGACGUUCGGCUAGAUUUGAAAGUAACUCCAGUAGAGCUCUUGUUGACAAAGCUGAAACGUUGGGGUACAGAAAGGUUUGAAGUAAAAGGAAUGGAGAAAGAUAGUAAUUAAAGCUGCUGUAGUUAUUCAAAUAUAACAAUACAGCCUUUAAAAUAUCAUUAGAGAUACAGGAACAUAUUUCAUAUUGAUGAAGGAUUAAAAUUCAUAGAAGAUCUAACUCUAAAUGUAUCUACAGUUAAUAGCUUUAAAAUAUGAAAAGCAAAAAUUGACAGCAGGAAGAAAAUGAUUUUGACCAUGAUAGUGGGAGACUCUAAUAAAACCAUUUCAGUAAUUGUUAAGCAGACAGUCUAUCAGGAUAUAAAAUAUUGGACCAAUGCAAUUAACAAUAUUGAUCUGGUAGAUGUAUAUGGAACACUGCACAAAACAAUUGAAUACAUAUACUCAAACACACAGGAAACACAUAAAAUGACCAUUUAGGAGGCUUGUGCCAUCGAUAUAUUUCAAAUGAUUGAGACUACAGAGACCGCAGUCUCUGACCACGAUGUAAUUAAUUUAAAAUGGCUAACAUAAAGAUAACUAAAAACUUCCAUGGCAGAGAAUGCUAAUUAUUUCCCCCGUAUCCAGUCCCCCUUCUUAGUCUGUGAGUAGAACUCACUGAGCCAGGAACAUGGUGGUUCUGCCUGCCUUGCAACUGGGUCUGGAGAUUGCUUUCAGGUUGAGGUGCUUGGUGCAACUUUGUGGGGACCUGAUUUAGAAAGGAAAUGGGUUUAAGAAAAUUCUUCCCUGUCCAUGGGCUGGAAGGUAGAUGGAGGUUAGUGAAGCAAUUUUCCUUUGCAAAGGACGGCAGCACCCUAGGGGCUGGGAUAGCACAAUGGACAGACUCCUCCAGCAGAGCAGUCCCUACAGGCUGGC